CCUACGGGAGGCAGCAGUGGGGAAUAUUGGACAAUGGGGGGAACCCUGAUCCAGCCAUGCCGCGUGUGUGAAGAAGGCCCUCGGGUUGAAAAGCACUUUCAGUGAGGAAGAACGCCUGGUGGUUAAUACCCAUCAGGAAAGACAUCACUCACAGAAGAAGCACCGGCUAACUCCGUGCCAGCAGCCGCGGUAAUACGGAGGGUGCGAGCGUUAAUCGGAAUUACUGGGCGUAAAGCGCGCGUAGGUGGCUUGAUAAGCCGGUUGUGAAAGCCCCGGGCUCAACCUGGGAACGGCAUCCGGAACUGUCAAGCUAGAGUGCAGGAGAGGAAGGUAGAAUUCCCGGUGUAGCGGUGAAAUGCGUAGAGAUCGGGAGGAAUACCAGUGGCGAAGGCGGCCUUCUGGACUGACACUGACACUGAGGUGCGAAAGCGUGGGUAGCAAACAGGAUUAGAUACCCUGGUAGUC
RNAcentral lists this ribosomal RNA (465 nucleotides) under Vreelandella stevensii. RNAcentral's name for it is "partial 16S ribosomal RNA". It matches the Rfam family "Bacterial small subunit ribosomal RNA", at positions 338 to 795 of the family's 1533-position model. The record is from RNAcentral. Lineage: Bacteria; Pseudomonadati; Pseudomonadota; Gammaproteobacteria; Oceanospirillales; Halomonadaceae.